AAUGGGGGCAACCCUGAUCCAGCCAUGCCGCGUGAGUGAAGAAGGCCUUAGGGUUGUAAAGCUCUUUCGCUAGGGAAGAUAAUGACGGUACCUAGUAAAGAAGUCCCGGCUAACUCCGUGCCAGCAGCCGCGGUAAUACGGAGGGGACUAGCGUUGUUCGGAAUUACUGGGCGUAAAGAGUACGUAGGCUGUUUGUCAAGUUGGGUGUGAAAGCCCGGGGCUCAACCCCGGAACUGCACUCAAAACUGGCAGGCUAGAGAUCGGAAGAGGUAAGUGGAAUUCCCAGUGUAGAGGUGAAAUUCGUAGAUAUUGGGAAGAACACCAGUGGCGAAGGCGGCUUACUGGUCCGAUACUGACGCUGAGGUACGAAAGCGUGGGGAGCAAACAGGAUU
This 392-nucleotide ribosomal RNA is filed under the name uncultured Alphaproteobacteria bacterium. RNAcentral's name for it is "bacterial SSU rRNA". It matches the Rfam family "Bacterial small subunit ribosomal RNA", at positions 370 to 779 of the family's 1533-position model. The record is from RNAcentral. Lineage: Bacteria; Pseudomonadati; Pseudomonadota; Alphaproteobacteria.